Molecule: long non-coding RNA, 590 nt
Organism: Ananas comosus (pineapple)
Lineage: Eukaryota; Viridiplantae; Streptophyta; Magnoliopsida; Poales; Bromeliaceae
Exons: 2
Source: RefSeq, a predicted model, not a curated record
GGACUGGGACCAACAACGUCUCUCUCUCGCUCUCUCUCUAUAUAUAUAAAUGGGUUCGCGAUUAAAUCGCCUCGACGCGCCCAGUGACCCUCUCCUCUCUCUCUCUCUCUCUCUCUCUCUCUCUCUCCCUCCUCGCAAAGAAAUUAAAGAAGGCGACGGUUGAGAUCGAGAACGGGUUUCCUGUUUUCUUCUCCGCCGCAUCGUCCCAUCGCGAUCUCAACGACGAGCUCCUCCCCUCAGAAUCGCUCUUCCUCUUUUUUUUUCUUUUUUUCUUCUUUUUGGGGUUCUCUGUAUAGCUUUGUCGCAUUUGAUUUGCUUAUCUUUGCUAUCUUUUUCAAGUGCAGGUUCUUUUCUGGGUUUUAUAUUGUUGCUGACGGACUGCGGCUUCUUCUACUUCGUCGGAGGAGAGCGAAAUCGCAUCUCGUCGCCCUCAAGGAACCGCCGGAUCUUCCUAUGAGGACGUGUUUGUGUUUUUGCUACACAGGGUGGGUGUUUGUUGUUGUUUUUGGAGGAGAAGGAUUAUUUGAUCUCUGUAUAUGCAUCUUGAUUUGCGAACUUUAAAUAUAAAAUUGGUUUCUUUUCGAUUUCAA